CGAUAUUAUUGGGCCUAAAGCGUCCGUAGCCGGCCGGACAAGUCCGUUGGGAAAUCGACGCGCUCAACGCGUCGGCGUCCAGCGGAAACUGUCCGGCUUGGGGCCGGAAGACCUGAGGGGUACGUCCGGGGUAGGAGUGAAAUCCUGUAAUCCUGGACGGACCACCAAUGGGGAAACCACCUCAGGAAGACGGACCCGACGGUGAGGGACGAAAGCUAUGGUCUCGAACCGGAUUAGAUACCCGGGUAGUCCUAGCUGUAAACGAUGCUCGCUUAGGUGUGCCGUAGGCUACGAGCCUGCGCUGCGCCCUAGGGAAGCCGAGAAGCGAGCCGCCUGGGAAGUACGUCUGCAAGGAUGAAACUUAAAGGAAUUGGCGGGGGAGCACCACAACCGGAGGAGCCUGCGGUUUAAUUGGACUCAACGCCGGACAUCUCACCGGUCCCGACAGUAGUAAUGACAGUCAGGUUGACGACUUUACUCGAUGCUACUGAGAGGAGGUGCAUGGCCGCCGUCAGCUCGUACCGUGAGGCGUCCUGUUAAGUCAGGCAACGAGCGAGACCCGCACUUCUAGUUGCCAGCAAUACCCUUGAGGUAGUUGGGUACACUAGGAGGACUGCCAUUGCUAAAAUGGAGGAAGGAACGGGCAACGGUAGGUCAGUAUGCCCCGAAUGGACCGGGCAACACGCGGGCUACAAUGGCUCUGACAGUGGGAUGCAACGCCGAGAGGCGACGCUAAUCUCCAAACGGAGUCGUAGUUCGGAUUGCGGGCUGAAACCCGCCCGCAUGAAGCUGGAUUC
RNAcentral lists this ribosomal RNA (797 nucleotides) under uncultured Halobacteria archaeon. RNAcentral's name for it is "bacterial SSU rRNA". It matches the Rfam family "Archaeal small subunit ribosomal RNA", at positions 496 to 1289 of the family's 1478-position model. Lineage: Archaea; Methanobacteriati; Methanobacteriota; Halobacteria. The record is from RNAcentral.